Molecule: long non-coding RNA, 438 nt
Organism: Symphalangus syndactylus (siamang)
Lineage: Eukaryota; Metazoa; Chordata; Mammalia; Primates; Hylobatidae
Source: RefSeq, a predicted model, not a curated record
GUUUACUGUGUGUGCUGGUGUCACUUGUUCCUCUCCACAUUACCCCAGGGGCAUCAGGACUUGAAGAACUGGCCCAAAAAUGCUGCUACUCUGGCUACUACCAUUGCUUGCUCGUUUAUGACCUUGCCCACUGAAUGCCUUAGAAAAGGCUCUUCUACACGCCCAGGGAAUCUGGAGGCACACUUGGCUUGAGGACUCUGUUCAGCUCAUCUUUUCCCGGAAGUCUUCAUGUAAUAGAGCCAUCCCAGGAGCUGAAAUACCAUCAUUUCUUGGUAUUCUUCCUAGACCAGUCACCCUUUUAUUUGGACUAAUUUGACGUCAAAUGUUUCACAAUUGAUGAGGAUUUUUAAAAAAUGUUUUGAGUAGGUAGAAAACAAACUACUUGGUAUAUUAUAACAAAGAAGGGUUGAGCAUGAAAAAUCUAUGCUCAAUCAUGAA